AUACUUCAAAAAUAAUUUUAUAUUUCUCUACAUUUAAUUAAUAAAAAAUUAUAAAUAUAAAUUUAUUUAUAACACUUAUUAUAAUUUUAAUUAAUAUAUUAUUUAUUAAUCGGUUAAAUGUAUGUGUACUGAAUACUCUAGUAAAAAUACAUGUGAAAUCACAAAUGCUUCUGAUCACACUGCUGGGUGAGCCCUUUCAGAAAUACUAGUAAUAUAUUCAGUCUUCAAUACUGGAUUUCUCGAUGACAAGUUCCAAAAUAGAUAGCAACUUUUCAUAUUAAAUGCAUAUAAUGCAGUCAAUUAUUUCCUGGGUAUUAAUUCCAAAGCUAAGAGCACCACACAUUCCACAAAAUUAGAUGUUUCUACCGUAUUUAUUAAAGAAUUAAAAGAACAUUUGAGAAAAAGUUACAUUUUCAGUUUUCAGGAAACCAGCUUUCUCUUACCUCAAAGCUUGGGAAGAAAACCAACCAAAAAAAAAUUUCAAUGCUCUGGAAUACUUUGCCAAAAAAUCCAGCGGCCUUCAAAAUCAAGAUUUCAAGUUACUCUGAACAUUACUGGAGUAGUCUACAACCUGUAAGGUCUCGUGUUCGAGAUCUUAAUAGAAGCAAAUAAGAAAUUAAAAAAAAAAAAUCAGACUUACAAGUUAAGGAGGUACCGGAAAUAAAAGGUCUGGCUGGCUCAUCCUCGGCAAUAUAUGGACUGCCACAGCUUCAAAUCCCGGCGGCGUCUCCAGUAUCCAUAACCUCACUGGCAUCGCCACCACAUCUAGUACCACAAUCCCACCAUUGUUACUGCCACUGCAAACGACGCAUACUCUACCACCACCUGCAGCAAUCUGUUGUGCUCCUAUAAGCCUUUCUGACUCCAUUAUGUACUCCCAGUCAUCCCUCUCCGGGUCAUAUUUUUUUAGUGUACCCUUGAUUUCUUCUACCACGUACAUCACCUCCUCAUCCAUGGCUGCCACAGGACCUUUCCACCCAGCAAGCAUACCCUCUGGCAUGUCCUCCCAAGCGUCCUUCUCAGUGUCAUAAACUAAACCUUCUUUCGCUGCUUGUCCUUUUACAUUCACCAUACAUAGUUUCCCUCUCCACCCUACUGCAUCAAUGGCGUCUCUACUAAAUCUUCCAUCUUUCAAUCCUUUGACCUUCUCCCAUUUCCAAGAGCUACCCUUGCUCCUGGUCGUCAAACAAUGACCGGUCACUGCGGCUGUUUUUUUGUUGUGCAAGAAAUCCCAUUUUUCCACCGACUUCGCCACAUCGGCAGAGAAAUAAGACCCGAUCCCACUCGCCACAUAGAUGGCGCCAUUUAUAGCACCGGCAGCGCACCAGCGGCGCGGUGAGGCGAGUUGGGGGCCAAAAACCCAUGUACGAGAGAGCGGAUUGAAAAUGAGAGGACGAGACAGGGCUGGGGAAAAAUUGUGAGCGGUGGCAGCAAGGAGGAUUAGGUGGCCAGAAACGGAGACAAACUGUAUAGGUAAGUAGCGGGAAAUAAAGGAUGGGUGGCGGAGGAGGAGACGGAGAGGGGGGUCCGGCGGUGGAGGAGGGAGAGAAGCCCACCUGGAGGAGAUAGGAUCAAAGUUAAAGAAUUGAAUUGAAUUAGUAAGGUCACUGUGAUCUGUGCGUUUAGAAGAUAAAACUGUGUAAAGAGAGAGGAAAGGAGGGAAACAAGGGGAAUAGAUUAGUCGGCGCCAUGAAGGGCAAACGGAGUAAAGCAAGGAAGGGUGAACACGGGAGAGGCAAAGUUCAGCUAUGUGGUCAGGCAGACCAGGGAUCAGAUCAGAUGACUCCUGACGAUGGCGGUGGUGUUUGGUUAAUGUUUGGCGUUUGACGGUGUUUCUACAGGCGGAUACAACCGCUGUAGUCUGGUUGGGAUUGGCCAUUGGAAAAGAAGAAGGGAGGGACAAAGAGCAAUGAAGGAGCAUAAAUAUGGACAUGUUCUAACUUUAUUAUUUAUUUAUUCAUUUUCUUUAAUUUUUGUUUUCUUGCCUUAAAAGAGAAGGGCCUCUAAUUGAUGGUUUGGACAAGCCGUGGAUUUUUAAAUACGUGUCAAGUUGAAAUAAAAGGCAAAAGCUAGGAAUUGGACAUUUAUAAAAAAGCAAUAAAAUUAUUUAGGGUUUCACUUUCUUGAUUUAAG
RNAcentral lists this unclassified non-coding RNA (2133 nucleotides) under Hevea brasiliensis (rubber tree). The record is from RNAcentral. Lineage: Eukaryota; Viridiplantae; Streptophyta; Magnoliopsida; Malpighiales; Euphorbiaceae.